UUCUUUAUCACCGAGUGCUUGCACUCACCGAUAAAGAGUUGAGUGGCGAACGGGUGAGUAACACGUGGGCAACCUGCCCAAAAGAGGGGGAUAACACUUGGAAACAGGUGCUAAUACCGCAUAACCAUAGUUACCGCAUGGUAACUAUGUAAAAGGUGGCUAUGCUACCGCUUUUGGAUGGGCCCGCGGCGCAUUAGCUAGUUGGUGGGGUAAAGGCUUACCAAGGCAAUGAUGCGUAGCCGAACUGAGAGGUUGAUCGGCCACAUUGGGACUGAGACACGGCCCAAACUCCUACGGGAGGCAGCAGUAGGGAAUCUUCCACAAUGGGCGAAAGCCUGAUGGAGCAACGCCGCGUGGGUGAAGAAGGUCUUCGGAUCGUAAAACCCUGUUGUUAGAGAAGAAAGUGCGUGAGAGUAACUGUUCACGUUUCGACGGUAUCUAACCAGAAAGCCACGGCUAACUACGUGCCAGCAGCCGCGGUAAUACGUAGGUGGCAAGCGUUAUCCGGAUUUAUUGGGCGUAAAGGGAACGCAGGCGGUCUUUUAAGUCUGAUGUGAAAGCCUUCGGCUUAACCGGAGUAGUGCAUUGGAAACUGGGAGACUUGAGUGCAGAAGAGGAGAGUGGAACUCCAUGUGUAGCGGUGAAAUGCGUAGAUAUAUGGAAGAACACCAGUGGCGAAAGCGGCUCUCUGGUCUGUAACUGACGCUGAGGUUCGAAAGCGUGGGUAGCAAACA
This 734-nucleotide ribosomal RNA is filed under the name uncultured bacterium. RNAcentral's name for it is "bacterial SSU rRNA". It matches the Rfam family "Bacterial small subunit ribosomal RNA", at positions 71 to 774 of the family's 1533-position model. The record is from RNAcentral.